Molecule: ribosomal RNA, 471 nt
Filed under: uncultured bacterium
Lineage: Bacteria
Description: bacterial SSU rRNA
Rfam family: Bacterial small subunit ribosomal RNA
Source: RNAcentral
UGGGGAAUCUUGCGCAAUGGGCGAAAGCCUGACGCAGCAACGCCGCGUGGGGGAAGAAGGCUUUCGGGUUGUAAACCUCUUUCAGGGGGGACGAAGCCACCGGGGUUAAUAGCCCACGGGGUGACGGUACCCCCAGAAGAAGCCCCGGCUAACUACGUGCCAGCAGCCGCGGUAAUACGUAGGGGGCAAGCGUUGUCCGGAAUCAUUGGGCGUAAAGCGCGUGUAGGUGGCUUGGUAAGUCCGGUGUGAAACCUUGGGGCUCAACCCCAAGCCUGCAUCGGAUACUGCCUCGCUCGAGUUCGGGAGGGGAGAGCGGAAUUCCUAGUGUAGCGGUGAAAUGCGCAGAUAUUAGGAGGAACACCGGUGGCGAAGGCGCCGCUCUGGGCCGAUACUGACACUGAGGAGCGAAAGCGUGGGUAGCAAACAGGAUUAGAUACCCCCGUAGUCCCUGAGCGGGCUGGCAAGGCGCAU